This 440-nucleotide ribosomal RNA is filed under the name uncultured Methanosaeta sp. Its description in RNAcentral is "bacterial SSU rRNA". It matches the Rfam family "Archaeal small subunit ribosomal RNA", at positions 896 to 1338 of the family's 1478-position model. Lineage: Archaea; Methanobacteriati; Methanobacteriota; Methanomicrobia; Methanotrichales; Methanotrichaceae. The record is from RNAcentral.
UGCGGUUUAAUUGGAUUCAACGCGGAAUCUCACCGGGGCGACAGCAAUAUGAAGGUCAGGCUGAAGACCUUACCGGAUUAGCUGAGAGGUGGUGCAUGGCCGUCGUCAGUUCGUACUGUGAAGCAUCCUGUUAAGUCAGGCAACGAGCGAGACCCACGUCCACAGUUGCCAGCAUACCCUCCGGGGUGAUGGGUACACUGUGGAGACCGCCGCUGCUAAGGCGGAGGAAGGAAUGGGCAACGGUAGGUCAGUAUGCCCCGAAUCUCCCGGGCUACACGCGGGCUACAAUGGUUGGUACAAUGGGCAUCUACCCCGAAAGGGGAAGGAAAUCUCUUAAAGCCAAUCGUAGUUCGGAUUGAGGGCUGCAACUCGCCCUCAUGAAGCUGGAAUCCGUAGUAAUCGCGUUUCAACAGAACGCGGUGAAUACGUCCCUGCUCCUU